Molecule: non-coding RNA, 3969 nt
Organism: Podarcis lilfordi (Lilford's wall lizard)
Lineage: Eukaryota; Metazoa; Chordata; Lepidosauria; Squamata; Lacertidae
Source: the annotation of a GenBank genome assembly
CCCCCUCUCUCUCGGGCAGGGAAGGGCUGAUGGAACUCCUUGUGCCAGGACGACGGCGCCAGUGCGCUCUCUCUCUCUCGCGGCAGAGGACCCCGAGCCGCUGCUUCCCUCCUGAGCCGGGUGAGCAUGAAACCUGGGAAAUUUAAGGGACAUCAUCAAUAAGGGACAGCAGCGGGACACGGCACUGGGAUAAGGGAGUUUCCCGCCAAAUAAGGGACGGUUGACAGCUAUGCUGAUAAUGACUCGUGCCCUUUGCGUCCCGUCCCCCCUGCUCCAUUGGUGGGUAGUGCUGAGGCGGAACGGGUUUGUGAGGGGAGAAAGAACGGGAAGCAGUAGCCAAUGAGGCGCAAGACGGUCGGAGGGGGAGGGAGAGUGGACUGUGUGAGGGAGGGGCGCUCGGUGGGUCUCCUGAGCGCAGCCGCUGGACUUGACACGCGCUGUCGCUGCUUGGAGCCUAGUCUCCCUGUCUGUAGCAGCUGCCUCUCCUCCGCUGCCAGCUCCCAGGGCGAGACCCGGGAGGAGGGCGGGCGGGGGUUUGUGGAUGGAGAACAGUUUAAGGCGCCUCUCUCCGCCUUGGCUUUUCCCUCAGCUGGCGGGGAGUGGGGGGUGUGGCGAAGGAGGCACUGUCCAACUCUACUUCUGCUGGUUGUAAUUAAGGACACUUCCAGCCUGCUGCUAUUUUUUGGUAGAAUUCAGUCAUGUACAGUGGUACCUCUGGUUACAUACGCUUCAGGUUACAUACGCUUCAGGUUACAGACUCCGCUAACCCAGAAAUAGUGCUUCAGGUUAAGAACUUUGCUUCAGGAUGAGAACAGAAAUCGUGCUCCGGCGGCGCAGCAGCAGCAGGAGGCCCCAUUAGCUAAAGUGGUGCUUCAGGUUAAGAACAGUUUCAGGUUAAGUACAGACCUCCGGAACAAAUUAAGUAACUAACCUGAGGUACCACUGUACUGAGAAAUUCAUACAGUGCAAGUAAAGUUGAGUUGAUGAUGUUGCACAACAAGCCCAUUCCCAACCAUUCCAAAAUCAGACUUUUGGUAAUAAGGAAACUGGGCAUGCAAUGGAAAUUGCAGGAUUAACUUGCUUGAUGUAACAUACAGUGGUGUAGCAUGGGUUGUCAGCACCCGGGGCAAGGCAAAUAAUUUGCGCCCCCUAACCCGUGGAUUUUAGUAGGGGCAGAGAGCUGCGAGUGCGAGUGCGCCCCCCCGAUGUUGCGCCCAGUGCGGCCGGCCCCCCCUGCACCCCCCACGCUACGCCACUGGUAACAUAUACAUCAACAUAACAUUGUUGUUGUUGUUGUUGUUUAUUCGUGUCCGACUCUUCGUGACCCCCUGGACCAGAGCAUGCCAGGCACUCCUGUCUUCCACUGCCUCCCACAGUUUGGUCAAACUCAUGCUGGUAGCUUCGAGAACAUUGUCCAACCAUCUCGUCCUCUGUCGUCCCCUUCUCCUUCUGCCCUCCAUCUUUCCCAACAUCAGGGUCUUUUCCAGGGAGUCUUCUCUUCUCAUGAGGUGGCCAAAGUAUUGGAGCCUCAGCUUCACGAUCUGUCCUUCCAGAAACCAAAGGCUGAUUUCCUUCAGAAUGGAUAGGUUGGAUCUUCUUGCAGUCCAUGGGACUCUCAAGAAUCUCCUCCAGCACCAUAAUUCAAAAGCAUCAAUUCUUUGGCGAUCAGCCUUCUUGAUGGUCCAGCUCUCACUUCCAUACAUCACUACUGGGAAAACCACAGCUUUAACUAUACGGACCUUUGUUGGCAAAGGUGUGUGCACUAUGUGUGCACUAGUUCCUUGCAAAUCCCUGUUUCAGCUGGAUUUAUAAGAUCCCAAAGCUGUUUCAGUCACUGAAGGGCAAUUGGUACUGGCACAUUAAACAACGUGGAUGUUCCUGUGUUCCAGAGUACUUGGGUUCUCCUGAGCAGAAACAAUUAGGAAGGGUUCCCUUUCAAAUAUUGUGAUCUGUACCCACCCCAAACCUUUGCAGGUGCCUGUUGGAUAGGUAAAGCUAGUUUUUCUUGCCAAGAAAUGCCCAUGGACAGGCACCUGCUGGUUUGUAGGUGCUAAAGUGAAUUAGUUACACACCCAAGUCAUGAUGAGGCUGUGGCGGAAAGUCCAACUAUCAACCUUCCUGCAUCUCAGUGGAUUACGUCUUGUGGUUCAGAACUCUGUGUCUCACUCUGCCACUCCUAAUGGCACUUGUGCAUCUGCUACCUGAGGCAGCCCCUUCACUUUGCCUCAUGAAUAGCCACCUCUGAAUAGAGAUGGGCAGUCUCUUAUCCCUUUAUUGGAGGUGUGGCAAUGAAUUAAGUCGAAUACAUAGCUGCUGGCCCUUGUCUUCCAGUACUGACGCCAGUGCCUGGCUAGCAGCUUCAUGUACUUCUUGCUUUCAGAAUUUCCUUGCAAAGGAAGAUUCCAGCAGGAAAUCCCUUGACCAUUUGCCCUCCCAUUCCAGAUACAGUGGUACCUCCGUUUGCUGACGGGAUCCGUUCCAGAGGUCCGGCCGGAUCCUGAGGUUUUCACAACCAGAGAGACUGCUUCCGCACAUGUGCGCUCGGCAAAAACCCGGAAAUAUACUUCUGGGUUUGUCACUUACGUAUCCCGAAGUUUACGUAACCAGAAGGAUAUGUAAGCGGAGGUACGACUGUAUAGCUAUCUUGGGUAACACUGAGAGUGAGAAAGCUAAUCGCAGUUCUGACACUCUUGUUGCUGGCAGUGUCUUGUGUGACACUCAUACUGUGGCUGUGUCGCCGAAGGACCCGGAUGAGAUGGGCAGCCUGGCGCGGCCUAUGAAUUGCUGAGGAGCCUUGAGAGGAGAGUGAGGGCAACCAUAGAGAAAGCAGUUCAGAGAGAAGAGGAGGAGGCGGAGGCACGGGCAGGUGUUCCAAGGGCUACAAGGGAAGGACCGCAAGUGCUUCUCCCAUAGAUUUGUAGUGGUAGACUAGCAUAGUUUACUUCGGGCGCUAUUCCCCCCCCUUCCUCCCGCCCCACCUGAUGGAACCGAGAGCUGCAGAUGGAGCACGAGAGAAAAGAUACAGAACUGCAGCAGCAUCUUCGUAGCUUGGACUUUGUUUUGCGCGAAAAGUGGUUGCUGCUUGUAGUUAUUUAAUUGCAGUGUUUCAUCAGCUGGUGUCUUGAGCAGCAACCUCUGGAAACGAAGGGCUAAAAACCGGCGCUGCUCUCCAAAAUUAUCUGGUCCCUUUUAACUUCGCAUUUCAGCUGGUUGACUAAAAUCCCUUAUUUGGGCUGCUGAUCCCUUAUUUUCGAGGCUGCUGGUCCCUUAUUUUCAAAUCUGUAAGUUGACAGCUAUGUUCAGAAAGAAGAAACAGAAAUAGCAUUCCUUAAAGUUAGCUGUAUGAUGGGAAAGUAGCCUGACUUCCUAUGAGCUACCUUAUUGUUUCUUGCACGUUAAUUUGAGCUUGGCAGAUCCUGUGCCUGUUUUUGCACGGACCCCUCUUUCAGUUCUUCUGGAAAAAAUCCGCCCCCUGAUAUUUCUCAGGUCUCUAUGGGCUCUGUUGAAUUCCUGAUCCAAAAAAGGGGAAAGGGAAGCUUCGCUUGAUGGAGGGAGGGAGAAAGGGGAUCUUUUGAGACAAGAUGCCAGGGCCCCAAAGAUGCCAGGGCCCUCCUGCUGCUGCUGCCUUAUGGGGCGAGAGAGGGAAAGGGGAUCUUUUGAGACAAUAUCCAAACAGCUCCUUUAACCAAACACCUGAUUCACCCAGCAGCUUGGCAGCCAAAGAAGAGAAAAGAAAAAAGUGGCAGAGGCAGCUCCCAGACAUCUCCAUGCAGUAAACAGUGACCCCGUGUGGCCAUUGCUGGAAUAGACAUCGACAGGAAAAUGAACAGUGACCCCGUGUGGCCAUUGCUGGAAUAGACAUCGACAGGAAAAUAAACAGUGACCCCGUGUGGCCAAUACUGGAAAAGAAAAGACAUCAAAAGGAAAAUAAACAAUGACCCUGUGUGGCCAGUACUGGUAUAGAAUUCA